UGGACUUGCUCCUGAANUACGGCGGANGGGUGAGUACACGUGGGCACCUGCCUAUAAGACUGGGAUAACUUCGGGAAACCGGAGCUAAUACCGGAUACGUUCUUUUCUCGCAUGAGAGAAGAUGGAAAGACGGUUUACGCUGUCACUUAUAGAUGGGCCCGCGGCGCAUUAGCUAGUUGGUGAGGUAAUGGCUCACCAAGGCGACGAUGCGUAGCCGACCUGAGAGGGUGAUCGGCCACACUGGGACUGAGACACGGCCCAGACUCCUACGGGAGGCAGCAGUAGGGAAUCUUCCGCAAUGGACGAAAGUCUGACGGAGCAACGCCGCGUGAACGAAGAAGGCCUUCGGGUCGUAAAGUUCUGUUGUUAGGGAAGAACAAGUACCAGAGUAACUGCUGGUACCUUGACGGUACCUAACCAGAAAGCCA
Molecule: ribosomal RNA, 428 nt
Filed under: Peribacillus simplex
Lineage: Bacteria; Bacillati; Bacillota; Bacilli; Caryophanales; Bacillaceae
Description: bacterial SSU rRNA
Rfam family: Bacterial small subunit ribosomal RNA
Source: RNAcentral